RNAcentral lists this ribosomal RNA (253 nucleotides) under uncultured bacterium. Its description in RNAcentral is "partial 16S ribosomal RNA". It matches the Rfam family "Bacterial small subunit ribosomal RNA", at positions 524 to 776 of the family's 1533-position model. The record is from RNAcentral.
GACGUAGGGGGCCAGCGUUGUUCGGAAUUACUGGGUGUAAAGGGGUCGUAGGCGGUGCGGCAAGUUGGGAGUGAAAUCUCUGGGCUUAACCCAGAGGCUGCUUCCAAAACUGCUGUGCUUGAGUGUGGGAGAGGCGCGUGGAAUUGCAGGUGUAGCGGUGAAAUGCGUAGAUAUCUGCAGGAACACCCGUGGCGAAAGCGGCGCGCUGGACCACUACUGACGCUGAGGAACGAAAGCUAGGGGAGCAAACAGG